AGAAGAGAAAAAUAACUUUUAUUUAUUUUAAAUAUAUACACAUAAUUUUCUCUUAAAAUUAAACUAAUUAAAAACUCCUUUUCUAAUUAAGAAUACACAAAAAGGUAUAAUAUAAAUAAAUCUUACAAAAAUAUAAAAAAAUAAAAAUAAAUAUUACUUUGGAAGAGGCGCAGCCCUUGAAAUUACAGAGCGCCUCACCCAGGCGAGACGAGGCAGCCUUACCUCGCCAGACGCCUUUAAUAAAACUGCGGCGAUACCCUCUCAAGAUGGCAACUCAUGAGAUUUGCAUGUGAUUGAGAAUGAUAACAGCCACGUAUGGUGCCAAGAAAUGCUACUCCUUUUUUUCCCCCCCAAACUGUGGGUUAUUAUCCCCUCCAAACACUCCUGAGGAUUUAUUGUUUCUACUUCGGGGGCCUAGUGAUGCAAAAGAAGGGAUAACCUGUUCGCAUAUGAUCAUGUCAAACUUCAGAGAAACAACUGUAAUUUCUAAUUGGCUUACCGUCCUGAAAGUAUCAUUCCCUUGUACGAUAAUAUCCAAACUUUCUUUUAAUCGAGUAAUUAAAUCACCAAACUUAAAUAAUUCAAGCACCGAGCACCAUCUAGGCAUAGCAAACAGUAUCAUCAUAAUUGCCAUUACUGUUAUAACUACCGGCUGAAGAACACCAGCACUACCGCUGUACAACUAGCCGUAAGACAUCACCAAAUUCUCACCAGGCUCAUGCAAUAGGUUAUUAUCAGAUUCGUCCCAAAUAAAAGAUUUUUCAAUGACCACAGCCAAAAGACGAGUAUGUUAUUCCUGAUGCUUGAAAGUAUGUUACUAGUUUCCAGGAAACUCGCAUAAUUUACACAAAUUGUUGUCUAUAAAUGAAAACAGAAACACAUUUUACCACA
Molecule: unclassified non-coding RNA, 891 nt
Filed under: Hevea brasiliensis (rubber tree)
Lineage: Eukaryota; Viridiplantae; Streptophyta; Magnoliopsida; Malpighiales; Euphorbiaceae
Source: RNAcentral